AUGAUGUUUAUUCAGCUUUCCGAUUAAUAGCUUUAACUAUGAUUUAUAAUUCUUUAAAUCUUUGCGUAAUCACGCCGCGCUCUCAUUGGCCACUUCCACUCUAAGUCCCGCCCACCCGCCUACGUCAGAUCAGACGUGUCGUUAGCCAUUUUGGUGCUCAGGGCUGCAAUAACACUCCAAUAAUCGCGUUAUUGUUGACGGAGGACCGGUUUUAUUUUCGGUGUUUGUGCCGCGGGAAUCAUGUCGGAGAAUCCGGACACGGACACUCUGGAGCUGGAGUCCGAAGAGAAGCAGGAUUCUCCAGAAAAGCCCUGUAACCCAGUACUGUCUGAAGAGGCCAAACUGAAGGAGAAAUAUCCGAACCUGGG
Sinocyclocheilus anshuiensis is the source of this 368-nucleotide long non-coding RNA. RefSeq lists it as uncharacterized. NCBI's taxonomy places the organism in Eukaryota, Metazoa, Chordata, Actinopteri, Cypriniformes, Cyprinidae. The record is from RefSeq and is a predicted model, not a curated record. The transcript is spliced from 2 exons.